GCAAGUCUGUGGAAUUCAAGUUUCAAUUGCGGUACCUCAUUGUUGGUCUGUUUUUUUCCUUGAUGUUCGAUAGGCUGGGCAUUUGCCCGUCUUCACCCGGCUAUUUUUAGCCGGAUUAACUUGAUAUUGAGGUGAACAAAUGGCAACAGGUACUGUGAAAUGGUUUAACGAUGCAAAAGGUUUUGGCUUUAUUACCCCGGAUGAUGGCAGCGAAGAUUUGUUCGCGCAUUUCUCUGCGAUUCAGGCAGGGGGUUUCAAAUCCUUGCAAGAAAACCAGCGUGUCAGUUUUGAAGUGACUGCCGGCCCUAAAGGCAAACAGGCUUCAAACAUUCAAGCUGCGUAAACCUGCAGUAGUUUAAGGAAAAGCCCCGGCAUGCCGGGGCUUUUUUA
Molecule: small RNA, 390 nt
Filed under: Sulfuricella denitrificans skB26
Lineage: Bacteria; Pseudomonadati; Pseudomonadota; Betaproteobacteria; Nitrosomonadales; Sulfuricellaceae
Description: cspA thermoregulator
Rfam family: cspA thermoregulator
Source: Rfam by way of RNAcentral